Molecule: ribosomal RNA, 257 nt
Filed under: uncultured bacterium
Lineage: Bacteria
Description: partial 16S ribosomal RNA
Rfam family: Bacterial small subunit ribosomal RNA
Source: RNAcentral
UACGAAGGGGGGCUAGCGUUGCUCGGAAUCACUGGGCGUAAAGGGCGCGUAGGCGGACUUUUAAGUCAGGGGGUGAAAUCCUGAGGCUCAACCUCAGAACUGCCUUUGAUACUGAGGGUCUCGAGACCGGUAGAGGUAAGUGGAACUGCGAGUGUAGAGGUGAAAUUCGUAGAUAUUCGCAAGAACACCAGUGGCGAAGGCGGCUCACUGGCUCAUUACUGACGCUCAGGCGCGACAGCGUGGGGAGUCAAACAGGA